AGGCACUUGGACCGGGAGUAAUGUCUAUCACCUUCCCGUUGGCGCUCAAAUUAGGCUCAAAAGUUGACCAGGGAAUGCCGGUUGCACAGUGGACCACGGCAUCAUAUUUCCGACCAGAUGGGCUAUUCAGAGCUGCUCCUUCUGGGGUCUUGUAGUCAAGAACCUCAUCUGCCCCUAAGCUCUUGACAAAUUCAAUGUUCCGAGCUCCACAAGUAGCUGUAACAUGCGUGUUUCCAAGCUUUGCUAGUUGGACUGCAUAUUGACCCACACCACCAGAGGCAGCAGUAAUCAGUAUGUUCUUUUGCUGGCCGCUUCCGUCCAGCUUGACCCCAGCAGCCUGCGUGAGACACUGGUGAGCUGUGAGGCCAGCAACAGGUAAGCCUGCACCUUCAGCUGCUGAUACUUCAGGUGGCCUGGUCACUGUCAAGUUCUCAGUAGCUGCAGCGUACUUGGCCAGUCCACCUCCCUUUUAUACGACAACAAAGAAAAGUGAGCCACAGAUGAUAGCAGUGACAAACAAAUGAAGAUAGGAUUUAACCAAAGGAAUAAAACGAAAACUUACAGCUUGGGAAAGAUAUGCCACAACUUUGUCGCCAGGUUUGAACUUUUGGACCCCCUGUCCAACUUCUACAACCUCUCCAGCAACAUCAGUAACUGUUUUCAACAAUAUCAUUAGCCAAUGUCAACAAACAAGAGUGUACAAACCACAAAACAACUCGUCUUGCAAUAUAGGAGCAUAAUUUGUUUCAGAAUGUUGCUAAUUUAUCUACCUCACAACUCUCCCCAACAACACGAAACUGAUCAAAUUCCGGUAAAUGUAUCAAUCAGUUCAACGCUGUAGUACUUAAUCAAACACCGGGAAAAACAGAAAUUACCGGGUGUAUAAGGGAAUUUGCGGGGCAAAAAAGGCCGCAACAUGCCUUUCUGAAUUUUCCAAUCAAUUGGGUUUAUACUGGCUGCUUCCAGUUUCAGCAAAACCUCGCCUUUCGUCGGAGGGGGGAUCGGAACCUCUACAUGCUGCAACAACCAUACAAUUUUGCAUAAACAAUUUAUUAAGGUAGCUCUCACAUGUACUACUUUCUCCAUGGAUUUUUAUUGCCCUUCAAAAUCAAGGGCACAUAUUCAAUCAACAUUGCAGCAUUUUCUCAAGAGUUAUCAUUCAUCUCUUCGGUUUUUAUUUUAUUUAUUUGGGAUUUCAGAGCCUAAUUAUACAAGUAAUACAUUUUCUUUUUACACCGAAGAGUAUUGAGCAUUAAUGAAAUCCCAGAAGCAAAAAUCACCAAUAAAAUAAGAAUAAAAGACAUGAGAAAUCUACAAAAUAAUGUUUUUACAGAAAAAUAGAGAAUAAAAAAGAAGGCGACAAUCGUAAAGAAAGAACCUUUAAACCAGAAGCUCCUCCGCCAUAGCCGUCGUACUGAACCGCAUGCAUAAGCUUCGACGCCAUUGCUGCCAUCCCCUGAGUCGGCAGAGAGAUAGAGAGGGGCGACAGAGAGUGCGUGUGUGUUUUCCUAGAUUCUUUGCGGGAGCGGCUUUAGACGUCUUGUAUACCAGACGUGGACGCACAGCAAGUUGCCAAGUGUUAUAUUAUUGUGAAUGACGGAAAUAACCUUUUAUUUUAUUAUAUUGAUGUUUCGGUUUUCGAUUUUUCUCGAUUUUUUUAUUACCAAAAUAUAAAAUUUGGUGUUUUAAGAAAAGAGAUUGUUAUUGGUACUUUAAAAAUCUAAUUUUGCACUCCAAACUUUCUAUAAUUAGAAAGAAAAAAACGCUUGUGAGGAGUGUAGAAUGAGAUUUAUGAAAUGUCCCUUAAGAAAUUCUAUGUAAUUCAAUGAAAUUAUAUGUAAUUAAAUAUUGAUCACUUAUCGAUAAAAAAGUAAAAACGAAGUCAAAUAUAUAUUGACCUUAAAUCGUUCAAAUACUAAACCAUUGUAUCCCACUUUUUCAGGGCCUAAAAAAGUGAGUAAUAUUAUUCAUACUAUAUUUUUGUACUACAUUUUCAUAUCAUCUUAAGUGGCAUUUGAGGUAAACAGUUUAUUUCUUGAAAAAUUAUGAUAAAAAAAUUGUAUGCGGAGAUUUAUCGAAAAAAAGAAAAUUGUAUGCAAAGAGUACUGACUUUUUAAUAUAGUAAGCUAACUACAAUUUACAUCAUAAUUUUACAAUUGUAUCAAUUUACAUCUUUUGAAUAUUUGAAUGUACUAAUAUCCAUUAAGUUGAUGAGUUUUUCAAUCAAUGUGGUGCAUAUAUAACUUACAAAUCAUCGCAAUUACGGAUUUCAUAAUUACCAUGUCAUCAACUUGAUGAAGAUUUAAACACUAACAAAAUGGUACAAGUCAAAAUCUUAGGGGGCAAUACGAAAAAAAUAUAGAGGGUGUAAAAUAUAUAUAGCCAUAAUAUAAUAGGAUGUAUGGGAUGCACACCCAACAAUACUUACUAUAAAAUGUACUUAACAAUAAAAUUAACAUUAAUUUAUAUCCAUACCUUAUCAUUUACAAUACAAACACCCACACAUCAAUGGGAGAUAAAAUAAAGCACACAUGAAAUUUACAUACCACUUAAGAAACACUAAGAUGUAUAUACAUGGGUAAUGCUAUCCACACACCUUUAUUUACUUUUCACAUACCCCUCUCAAUUUUCAACUGUCUAGUCGAGUGAAUUGAAGGUGAUCAAAAGACAGAAAUUAACAAAUGGCAUGUGAAUAGAACCACCCUGUCUCUUGUCUACUUAAGGCUCGACAAUAAUCUUUCCAGUCGCGUGUCCAUCCAUACUCCUAGCCCAAGCAUCUUCAGCCUUGCUCAGAGAAUACGUCGAGUCGAUUACCGUCUUGAGCUUUCCUUCCUUCACCAACUUAACAAGAUACUCCAAGUUCUCAGCCUUGACAUUCAGAAACAGUGGCACCAGCUGCUUCUUCGAGAAUGUGAGUUUCUUCAGUGCAAAAGUAGCAAAGGCACUUGGACUGGGAGUGAUGUCUAUUACCUUCCCGUUGGUACUCAAAUUAGGCUCAAAAGUUGACCAGGGGAUGCCAGUUGCGCAGUGGACCACAACAUCAUAUUUCCGACCAGAUGGGCUAGUCAGAGCUGCUCCUUCUGGGGUCUUGUAGUCAAGAACCUCAUCUGCCCCUAAGCUCUGGACAAAUUCAAUGUUACGAGCUCCACACGUGGCUGUAACAUGCGUGUUACCGAGCUUUGCUAGUUGGACUGCAUACUGACCCACGCCCCCAGAGGCAGCAGUAAUCAAUAUGUUCUUUUGCUGGCCGCUUCCGUCCAGCUUGAUCCCAGCAGAUUCCGUGAGACACUGGUGAGCUGUGAGGCCAGCAACAGGUAAGCCUGCACCUUCAGCUGCUGAGACUUCAGGUGGCCUGGACACUAUCAAGUUCUCACUAGCUUUAGUGUACUCAGCCAGUCCACCUCCAUUCUAUCCAUACAUAAGAUGACAAUGAAAUUGAGGCACACAUAUAAUAAAUGAGUUCUAAAUGUGAAACUUCUUAUAUGCACAAUUAGAUCUUCAAGACGGGGAAAAAGUAACCAAAGGAAUAAGAUGAACACUCACAGCAUGGCUCAGAAAUGUCACAACUUUGUCCCCCGGUUUGAACUUUUGCACUCCUUGUCCAACCUCUACAACCUCUCCAGCCACAUCAGUAACUGUUAAUAUCAUUAGACAACGUUAAAAACAAAAACCUACCAGUCUACAAACUGAAUGACAUUGAUAACUUAAACCAUCAAACACCUCGCCUUUCAAUGUAGGAUAGAUGAAUGCCAUUUUAAAAAUCAAAGCACAAAUUUACUUCAGAAUCCAACUGAUUCAAGCACCAGAAAAAUCAUUAAAAAAAAAAGCACCGGAAAAUUCUCCCAAGAUUACAAAUAGCAUAAAGUGUAAAUGAGAAGUUUCAUUGAAAACACGAUAUGAUCCGUAAACCAUUGUGCUUACUUUUCAAUAUUCACUUUUUAAAAAGGGUCUCUUCGGCAUGCCUAGUUUUUCAAUAAUGCAGUAACCAAUCACACCCAGUACCUUGUACAACAGUUAGCAUGUUUCAGCUUAUGAGACCAGUUGAAUGUUGUCUAGGUAUGUCAAAAAUUUAACUAGCCCGGUGCAGCAAACUUAUUGAAAGGCGAGUAGACUACACAUCAGUGGCAUUACCAAACACUAAUGACAAGCACUACGCUGUAAUGUGAAGUGAACAAACACGUCUGAAAAGGAGCAGGCACAAACUAGAAAGCGGGUUCUUUUGGUGAAAAAGGGGGCCUAGCCCAAACAAACUUCUACAAAUCUAUGCCUGGUAAGGCCAACCAAAUCUUCCAAUACAAAAAGAGGACGAUCAAUCAUUAUAAAAACAGAGGCCUUGUUUGGUGUCAAGCAUUGGACUCGAAGAGAUAACACACUUGACUGAAUGGAUUUUAGAACAAAAAACCGGAUGCCAGAUUUCACAUGUUGCCUAAGUUGAAGGUAGAAGAUUGAUUAGUCAUAGAGGAUUAAGUUAUCCUUUCAAUCCCCACAAAAAUGGUAGAGUUAAUUUUCCUCCAUGACUAAUCCUCCUUCUAACUUCAACUUAAACAACAUAUGAAAGUUGGCAUCCAUUUUUUCUUUGACGUACAUUGAACCUAGUAAGUUAUCCAUUCCAACCCAAUCCUAGACACCAAACGAAGGCCAAAGUUCCUACCAAUACGAUCAACUUCUCGUUUAUAACACUACAAGUUAAUCUGACUUUAUAACAAACAGAUCACUUAAAAUCUUAUUCAUUUUUCUAGAUGCUAUGAUUGGACUGUCAAAUUAUUUACUCAGGAACUCACAAGCACGCACAUAAUUACUGCUGGGAAAGUUCAAGAUUGAUUGUAACUUGUAAGAAAAAGAAUUUGGUCAAAUUCUUGCAAGCAAAGAAAGCAGAAUCAUUCACCAGGUAUGUGAGGAAAUUUUCGGGGGAAAAAAGGCCGAAGCAUGCCCUUCUGAAUUUUCCAAUCAACUGGGUUUAGAGCAGCUGCUUCCAGUUUCAACAAAACCUCCCCCUUCUUGGGAGAGGGGACCGGAGCCUCCACAUGCUGCAAAAAACAAAUUACAUGAAUAAAAUACACAUAAAUUCGAGAAGGAAAUAUCAAAGAAGGAAAAACAUAUGAGAUAGAUGUACAAAAUGUUAGACCAAACAAAUUUACAGAAUAACAAAAGGGGAACGUACGAGAUGAAGAAAGAAAAGCGAUAACCUUUAAAGCAGAAGCGCCUCCGCCAUAGCUGUCGUACUGUACCGCAUGCAUAAGCUUUGACGCCAUGUUGCCGUACCCUUCUGAAUCGGCAGAGACAGACGAGGGAGGAUUCAGAUUUGUAGAGAGAGAAGAGAGAGAGUGAGAGAGGGCGAGUUGCUAGAUCCUUGUGGAUGGAAUUUGGAUCCUCUCCUGAGCAGAAGGUGAGGAUCCAAGGUAUGUGGACCGUUAGAUAAAAAUCUAACGGUUAUAAUUAUUAUAAUUUUAAAGAAAUCCCUUAUUUGUAAUCGUUGGAUUUUCAUCUAACGACCUACAAUCCUUGAUCAGGAAGACCCUCACCUUGAGCUCAGGAGAGGAUCGAAAUCCCUAGGAUUGGGUUUUUGACAACGACACUUGGAAUUAUUUCAGUUUGCCACGUGUUGAACUAAGAUAAUCGACGGAAAUAACUCUCUGGUUUAUUGACUUUAUUCACUUGUAAAUAUAUCAUUAUAUAAAAAUAAAUUUAGAGUUGGUUGGAGGGUGUGGUGCUUUAAAAAAAAAUUAAAAAAAUUUAGACAUCAAAUGUGUUUAGUAAAACAAAAGAAAAUUGUUUCUUUUUCAAAAUUGUUGUCAAUAACAAUAAAAAAUAGAACUAUGGUCUACCAUGCUACUAUGCUUCUUGAAAAAGUUUUUUUUUUUAUUCAAAGCAUUGUGAAUAGUAUCUAUUUAAUGAAAAUUUCAAAUGAUAAGUAUACUCCUGUAUACUAUACAAAAUUACAAUUUUUAUCGCUGCAUUAUUCUCUUUGAUAAUUUUUAUAACACAUUGAAUGUUAUAGUCUUUGUAAUCAUUUAACAUGUUUACAACAUUUUUAUAUAAAAGUUUACCAAAUAUUUAAAUAUUAUUUUUUUGUUAAAAGCACUUUUACAAAAAAAAAAUUUAUCAAAUAUUCAACAACUUUAUUUUACAGCUAUUUAUUCUCACAGCACAACAUAAGUAUUUUUUUUUUCAAAAAACGCAACAAUACCAAACUAGCCCUUAGUGUUAGAGCUCGCCAAGGAAGAGUAACUCGAUUAGCCUAUUUCAUCUUACAUCUAUCAUAUUAUUAAUUUAAAUAGAUAAUCAAAAUCUUGUAAGUAUUUAUAAUUUGGACAAAAUUGACACCCAGCAAAAUCAUAAUAAAAUUGACAGGUAACAACCCCAAGGGGUAGGUCAAUGAGGGAGCAAAAGUUUAGAACUCACAACCUAAAACGUAGUUAACAUUGCCAACUGUAAAACGUAGUUAACAAUAAAAUGAACAUUAUUUAAAUCCAAACCUUAUCAUUUACAAAACAAACACCCACACAUCAAGGGGAGAUAUCAUAAAGCACAAAUGAAGUUUACAUACCGCUAUAAAAACAUUAAGGACUUGUAUGUCAUGGAUUGUGAUAACCACACCUCUUUAUUUACCAUUCACACAUCUUACUCAAUUUCCGACUGCCGGAUCUAAUGAAUUGAAGAUGAUCGAAUGAUGUAAAUAAAUAAAGAGUGUGUGAAUAGUAUCACCCUAUAUUUUGUUUACUUAACCUCGACAAUAAUCUUUCCAGUCGCGUGUCCAUCUACACACCUAGCCCAAGCAUCUUCAGCCUUGCUAAGAGGGUGCGUCGAGUCAAUCACUGUCUUGAGCUUUCCUUCCUUCACUAACUUAACAAGAUACUCCAAGUUCUCCGCCUUGGCAUUCAUAAGCAGUGGCACCAGCUGCUUCUUCGAGAAUGUCAGUUUCUUCAGAGCAAAAGUAGCAAAAGCACUUGGACCAGGAGUGAUGUCUAUGACCUUCCCAUUGGCGCUCAAAUUAGGCUCAAAAGUUGACCAGGGGAUGCCGGUUGUGCAGUGGACCACAGCAUCAUAUUUCCGACCAGAUGGGCUAGUCAGAGCUGCUCCUUCUGGGGUCUUGUAGUCAAGAACCUCAUCUGCCCCUAAGCUCUUGACAAAUUCAAUGUUACGAACUCCACAAGUGGCUGUAACAUGCGUGUUACCGAGCUUUGCUAGUUGGACUGCAUACUGACCCACGCCCCCAGAGGCAGCAGUAAUCAAUAUGUUCUUUUGCUGGCCGCUUCCGUCCAGCUUGACCCCAGCAGCUUGCGUGAGACUUUGGUGAGCUGUAAUGCCAGCAACAG
This 7316-nucleotide long non-coding RNA is filed under the name Malus domestica (apple). Its description in RNAcentral is "long non-coding RNA (MDOM_LNC004983)". Lineage: Eukaryota; Viridiplantae; Streptophyta; Magnoliopsida; Rosales; Rosaceae. The record is from RNAcentral.